This 1114-nucleotide long non-coding RNA is filed under the name Naja naja (Indian cobra). RNAcentral's name for it is "lncRNA (ENSNNAG00000000175.1)". Lineage: Eukaryota; Metazoa; Chordata; Lepidosauria; Squamata; Elapidae. The record is from RNAcentral.
UCCAUUUUGAGGUGAUCUGAAUUUUGACAUAUGUGCUUUCAGCAAUAUCAGCAGGAAGGGCAAGAUGGUCAGGCUGAUAUGAAUAGAGGUGUGGAGUUGCGGUACCAAAACAGGCCAUUGGCUUGCAAAUGUUUUGUGUGGAGACUGGAAGCUUCUGGGCACUGUGAUCUUGUGGACUGAAGUCCAUGGCACCCACAGCAUUUCACUCUCAGUGCAAGCUGGAAGGAUCCUUUGAGGCAGUACAAUUUCAUGAUCUUGUGCAGCAGAAAGGCUGGAGAGGAGACAACUUGCUAGAUUUUCACCAGGGGCUUGGCUGAUACUCCGGAAGUUUUUUCCCAGAGAUGGAAAAAGAUCAACAAUCAGCCGAAGUUGGAAAGGUGCAGGAGGGAGCGUGUGGGGGCCCUCCCUCCGGAGCAUUAACUGGAUCUGCCAGCCCUUGUUUGGAGGAGAUGAUGGAUGCUUUCAGAAUGGCAGUAGAGGAAAGAGAUUUGGGAGCUAUACCAAAGCGUUUCAACUCAAGAAGUUGUUAUAACCCAGAUGUAACCCAGCUGUCUGAAGAGAAAACUUUCUCUAGCCCCAGGCAUUUUGUUAUUCUGUCAGAUUGGAGGGAAGAGAGACAAUUGGGGUCGGAAUUCUCUCAAGAAGACAAACCCAAGAUUUAUCCUGGGAGUCCAUCGGAGGCAGAUUUACAUCAACAGUUCCAGAAUUUAAAGGUGACAGGCUUGGUCUCACAGUCUGUUUGGAUGGGUGGAAGCUUGAGACCACCCAUGUUCACUUACCCAAGUAUUGUGAGGGAUGAGGAGACUAUACAGAUGCCAGUUGGAGGAGCCCAGCAAGAAGCAUCAACUGACAGAGCUAAAUCUACAUUGAAGGCUGCUAUGAAGACAAAACAGAUAUUCUUUGCAAAGUAAAGACCAAGGAGAAAUCAACGCGCUUUCCAGAGAUUCCUUUGCAUGAAUUCAGUGAAGACUGUAACUUAUGAUUUAUGGGAUAAUUCAGCCUUCUCCAGCUCCCAGAAUUCUCAGCAAUGGUCAUGCUGGCUGGAGAUAUUUACAGUAUGGAUUAUAUGAGAUAGCCAAUUAUGUUUAUUCAGCGAUCUAUAAUUAAAAUUGUG